This 215-nucleotide long non-coding RNA is filed under the name Lupinus angustifolius (narrow-leaved blue lupine). Its description in RNAcentral is "long non-coding RNA (LANG_LNC000471)". Lineage: Eukaryota; Viridiplantae; Streptophyta; Magnoliopsida; Fabales; Fabaceae. The record is from RNAcentral.
UUUUCCAUUUGUACUCCCUAGAAUUUGCGUCUACAAAUUAAAUAAACACCACUCUGUAAUUUCUUAGAUUUUUUUUGAAAUCAUUACAGCUCCCUCAUUCUCAUUCUCAAGUGGUUGAUCAUCACAGUAUUACAGUUACAGAGCUUCACAACCAUUCACAAUCUCACACCUAUUAUAAUCACACUCCUCUGUUCUUCAUUCAUCUCUUAUGGUGC